This 426-nucleotide ribosomal RNA is filed under the name uncultured Chroococcidiopsis sp. RNAcentral describes it as "bacterial SSU rRNA". It matches the Rfam family "Bacterial small subunit ribosomal RNA", at positions 355 to 795 of the family's 1533-position model. Lineage: Bacteria; Bacillati; Cyanobacteriota; Cyanophyceae; Chroococcidiopsidales; Chroococcidiopsidaceae. The record is from RNAcentral.
UGGGGAUUUUUCCGCAAUGGGCGAAAGCCUGACGGAGCAAUACCGCGUGAGGGAGGAAGGCUCUUGGGUUGUAAACCUCUUUUCUCAGGGAAGAACAAAAUGACGGUACCUGAGGAAUAAGCAUCGGCUAACUCCGUGCCAGCAGCCGCGGUAAUACGGAGGAUGCAAGCGUUAUCCGGAAUUAUUGGGCGUAAAGCGUCCGCAGGUGGCAAUUCAAGUCUGCUGUUAAAGGUUCUGGCUCAACCAGAGACAGGCAGUGGAAACUGAAUAGCUAGAGUGCGGUAGGGGCAGAGGGAAUUCCCAGUGUAGCGGUGAAAUGCGUAGAGAUUGGGAAGAACACCGGUGGCGAAAGCGCUCUGCUAGGCCGUAACUGACACUCAUGGACGAAAGCUAGGGGAGCGAAUGGGAUUAGAUACCCCAGUAGUC